GCUAUGUGUCGUAGAUUAAAAAAAGGAUAUAUUAAAAGUAAAGCGGAAGCAACCAAUCAGAGCGCUUCCAUCUGGUCUUCGUCAUCGCGAAAUGACAAAGAAACAUACACGUAGCUCUCCCUCCUUUCCCUUCGCUCUCUCACGUCGCUACCACUUGACACUUCUGACAGAUCCAAACCAACAAAUGAUUCUCGCAGCUUCAGAAUCAACACCGCAUUCAGAAAUUAUGAAAAUAAAACUAACAAAAUUAAAAAAAAAAAAAUUCAUAAUAAUAAGCACUAAUAACAAUA
This 290-nucleotide unclassified non-coding RNA is filed under the name Hevea brasiliensis (rubber tree). The record is from RNAcentral. Lineage: Eukaryota; Viridiplantae; Streptophyta; Magnoliopsida; Malpighiales; Euphorbiaceae.